Molecule: long non-coding RNA, 2583 nt
Organism: Neopsephotus bourkii (Bourke's parrot)
Lineage: Eukaryota; Metazoa; Chordata; Aves; Psittaciformes; Psittacidae
Exons: 2
Source: RefSeq, a predicted model, not a curated record
CGAGGUCAAGUUCCGCACAGCGCCUGGAACACGGCGGCACCGACAGCGCGGACGGUUCCGCAACGGUAUCGGCUGACCCAGCCGCACAGACACCGGCAGCGGUGGGCUGAACGACAGGAACUCGACAAUACUGGAGUUGAACGGGUGAGAUUCAUCCAUCCAUAGUGCCGGUGGGGAGAAGAGGAAGGGACAGACAGGAAAGAAAAGGAUGAAGAGGAGACCAAAUGCAGGCUGCUGCCAGAUGUGAGGCCAGAGCCCGCAGUAGUUACACUGCAGGGAUUUCCAAAUGCCUUUCCCAAGUAAAUAGCUUCAGUUGACUAAAUCUGUUGAUGUCACUGGGAGCACUUAGAGGAAGGAGCUUCUCACAAGGCACAACUGUUUCAGGGUCAGGACUGGGGGUCAGAAAAGCAUACACACAGUAGAGGUCAAUGUUUCAAUGUGUCUCUUGAGAGUUACCCACAUAAAAAUCCCCUGAAAACAAUUACAUUUGCUCAUAUGAAUACUGUACUACCAAUAUCUAUAAAGGAGCACUUUGAGGAAAGAUUAAUGACCUGGAAGGCUGAUUUGGGGAAGUUUUCCCACCUACAAGAUAAUACUGACAGAAAUCUGCAAACUGUUGUAGAGGACUUAGCUCAACUGCAGGUCGUAUCAUUAGGGAAGUGAAAAGAGAAAAAGUUCAAGUUAAUAGGUGAGUCAUAAUGACAAGAAUGAGAAGUUUAAGCUUACCCUGGUGAAGCAGAUGUAAAGCUGUAAUGGACUUAAAAGAAAGUGCUCCUGUAUCUUUAUCAAAAAACAGGCAAAUUACCUCAGUAGCUCCUUGUUCUCUGGAUUGUAAAAGACAGAAGAGAGGCAGGAAAGGAAGCGGUAGUAGGUAAGAGGAGCCUAUACAAGGUCUUUUCCCAUCUAGAAAGAGAAAAGGUCACCUCUUACUGUACGGAUGAAGUAGCAGCAGGAGUUGAGUGAGAGCAGUGGAGAGUGGUAUGAACAGAAGAAUGAGCAGUGAAAGGAAGGAAGGAGUCAAAGGUGCCUGACUCGUUACAGAGAGUAAUACUGGUAGCAUGGUGCCUUUACCAGUGAUAGAAGUGUGAGGGGCUCAGGAAAAAAAGGAUGCCUAAAUUUGCCUGUUUCAAGUUUAACUUGCCAGCAACUAAUUCCAGAAGAGACAAGGAAGGUUGCUAGAAACGUGGCUGUGGAUGGGAGGAUAAAACCAGUUCAGGAGCAGAGUAGAUUGGUUUCUUUCCUACAUCAUGAUGGUAUUUAGAUGACAUUUCAGGUAUAACUGGUAGGGAUGAAGCAAACAGCAAAAUGCAAACUGUUACUUUCAAGAAAAUCUAAUGAUAAAAAGAGAAGUUGUUGAAAAUCAGAGUAGAUAAGAUUCAAAACUAAAGCUCUAGGCAGUCCUGUAGCUGAUGUCCCAUUUGACAGUCAAACACUAUCGCUGUGAUAGCAAGUUUUCACUUGUGCUUUCUGAAGGCCCUCUGUGCCACAGAGGCCUUUGAGCACUCAAGGUGUACGAGGUCUAAAUCUCAGUACAGCAGGAGGUGGGCAGCAGACUCCUGCACAGACAGCUACCAAAGGGAGACAAAGGGAGCAUGUUUAUUUUCAGUUGGAGGUGAGGAACGCUCCUGUGCACCAGCAUGCCCUCUUGGCUCCUGUGAGACACAGAAAUGCUCAUUUAAAUACUCCAGAGAACCAGAGCAAAUGAGCUGCUCGGAAAACCAGAAAGCAGCAAAUGACAACUGAAACUCUUCAGGAAUAAAAGGGGAGAGGGAUUUAGGCAGAGCAAAAAGGCAAAUGCUUUUUUAAUUGUAAGUUAUUUUUGCACUCAGAAGAGGGAAGAAUUGUGAUGUUGGCUCGAGACCUUGCAUUACGAAUAAACGUACUUGAGUUUCUGAAGGAUUUAAUAAUCUAACAUGAAGCUCCUACUAGCCCUCCAGGCAGAGGAUGGGCCUGUUGGGUCAUGGUUUCAUACCAUCAAAGAGAUAGAUUUCAUCUUUCAGAUGUUGUUGUGCUCGCUUGGUAAGAAUUCAGCUUAUUAAAAGGUGUUAAAUAAGAUACAGGAUAAAAAUACUACAAGAGAAGAAAAAAAAGAUUUAAGGCUAAAAGGCAAAGUAAAUAUGGAAAUAACAUUUGGAAAGACAUUCUGGGAACAAAACUCCAAGUUUAUGUAUUGGAACAGAGUAGAGGGUAACUCUGGAUGGGUGAUGCAGCUCGAGGUGCUGUGACCUUGGAAGCAGCCAGUCGGGCAACACCCCAUGCUGCACAAAUGGAAUGUGCAGCUCUUGGCAUGGGAGCUCCAAUAUUCAAAGUGCCCCAUCAAUCUGAGUAGAGUUUUCAGUGUUUAAGAAUCUUAUUUUAUCUGGAUUAAAGUCCUCUUCCCCCUUGGCAUUAGAAGGUGUUUAUGGCUGUAAAAACAAGAAUUGCAAAACACUGCCUUGAAAUAUAGAUGGAUUUCUGCUGCCAAACUGACGAGGUUUACUUUGCAGCUUCAAACUGAAGCAGAAAAUCUCUGCCAGGGACAGUGUGGCCUUUCUAGACAAAGUGUGGGCAAAUGGCACAUCAACCAGAUCACUCCAAAAUCUC